Molecule: long non-coding RNA, 337 nt
Filed under: Phoenix dactylifera (date palm)
Lineage: Eukaryota; Viridiplantae; Streptophyta; Magnoliopsida; Arecales; Arecaceae
Description: long non-coding RNA (PDAC_LNC011904)
Source: RNAcentral
UAUUCAAAAUUUAUAGCAAUCACUCUUUUUAAUCUUUCAAGAAUAAGUUAUGCUUUCUCUAAAUCUUUGAAAAAAUGUAUAGAAAUAUUAAUCAGAAAAUGAUUCAUUUGAAGCUCAAAUUCUUUCAAAAGCAUUUACAUUUUCUUUCUUUUAAGAAUCAUUUGAGUGAGCUGAAAUGUUUCUAGACUUAAGAUCAUUCACUCUUUUUAAUAAUAUAUGUAUAUAUUUUGAUGGAAGUCUUUAAUAAUGUAGGAGAGAAAAACAUAUAGAUGAUCAUUGAAGUAUAUAUAUUUAUAGAACUCAAUUUCUUAAUCAUAGUUUUUCAGCAAUGUAUACA